UGAUCUUUAGAUCUCACAUGAUGUCCGAAGAAUACAAGCUACAAAAGGAUCAGCACCUCAAGGAAUUCUAAGGCAUUACAAGCUAAUAUCUUGGACCCAGGAUGUGAAAGCAGAUGACUUGUAACCCAGCAAAACUUUUUGCCAUACAAAUUGAAUUCCAGAUAGCAAGUUAGAAUGUCACUGUCAUCUCCGUAAGCAGACUACUGACAAUUUAGCCUAGGCAAAGGGAGAAAAGCAGCAGUGAGCUGAGGUAAGAAGUGUCUUAUCUAAUGUCUUUUAGCCAAUAAUUGCCAGAACAGAAUAUGUAUUUUCUGAUUUCCCAAUUUUUUUGGUAAUGUUCCCCUGUGAAACAG
This 353-nucleotide long non-coding RNA is filed under the name Strigops habroptila (Kakapo). RNAcentral's name for it is "lncRNA (ENSSHBG00005019484.1)". Lineage: Eukaryota; Metazoa; Chordata; Aves; Psittaciformes; Psittacidae. The record is from RNAcentral.